GAUGAACGCCGGCGGCGUGCCUAAUACAUGCAAGUCGAGCGGCAGCACGGUCUUCGGACUGGUGGCGAGCGGCGGACGGCUGAGUAACGCGUAGGAAUAUACCCCAAAGUGAGGGAUAACUGCCCGAAAGGGUGGCUAAUACCGCAUGUGGUCUUCGGACUAAAAGCCUUCGGGCGCUUUGGGAAUAGCCUGCGUAAGAUUAGCUAGUUGGUGAGGUAAUUGGGCCUCACCAAGGCGACGAUCCUUAAGCUGGUCUGAGAGGAUGACCAGCCAGACUGGAACUGAGACACGGUCCAGACUCCUACGGAGGCAGCAGUAGGGAAUUUUCCGACAAUGGGCGAAAGCCUGAUGGAGCAACGCCGCGUGCAGGAUG
RNAcentral lists this ribosomal RNA (373 nucleotides) under uncultured bacterium. Its description in RNAcentral is "bacterial SSU rRNA". It matches the Rfam family "Bacterial small subunit ribosomal RNA", at positions 28 to 410 of the family's 1533-position model. The record is from RNAcentral.